GCAGGUGCUGCGGGCAGGGAGCGUUCGGGAAUCCCCCCUGCCCCUUCCCUAGGAGUGGGCCGGGCCUCUGCGGGCGGCCGGAGGCGUCUCUGUGCCCGCCUGUCGGCCGGGGCAGCGCCGCGCCGUGUGACCGCCGCGCUCCCGCUGGGCCCCGGGUCCGACCGCAAGGGCGCCUGAGCGGGCUCCGGCCGCGCUCCCGCCGAGCUCACUCGGAGCUGCCCGGGCGCUCGCUGGUGGAGGUGAUGACUCUUUCCCCGUCAGAGCGGCAGUGUUGACUAUUGCUGUCCAAGCCAGGUCGUGUCUGAUGUACCAGCGAAGCGGCCGCGGGCCGGCGCUGACCGUCCGCUGCUCCCGGUGCUUAUUGUGCUUUGUUUCUCCGUAGGACGGCGGAGCCCAGGGCGCCUGCGGGAGCCCCGUGCCCGGAGCCAGGCCGGCGAUGAGGGCACUUCCCCGGCGUGCGCCGGCAGGCGCGAGCCUCUGCCGGGGCCAGGCGGGCACUGAAGGCAAAAAGUGGGGAGUUGAGCCUUGGGGAGACCUGAAGUUCAGGCUCCAGCCGACAGUGAAGAGGUGUGUGAUGUGAGCAAUUGUCUUGGUUUGCUCUACCGUGCCUGAAUCUCUAGCAAAUAAUGGUAAGCCUUUGAAGGCACUGUGAAGGCAGAAGUGGGGAGUUGAGCCUUGGGGAGACCUGAAGUUCAGGCUCCAGCUGACAAGGAAGAGGUGGGGAUGAGGACAUUGUCUGGUUUGCUCCACCAUGUGUGCCCCUUUGUCAAGGCGGAAUGUUUGGGAUUUACAAAAAGGUGUCCUGGGCCCUGCUGGAGUUUGAGUGUUCUGCUUAAGAAGAUGGAUGGUUCUGCUGCUCCCAUGCUGCUGCCUGGGAUCCUCAUUCAAGCCACAGCAUUCCCAUACCCUGCAAUAGCUGACCUCUCAAAGCCAUCAGGAGUGAUGGAUUUGUGUCCUGCCAGCUUAGACAGAGGGUGUUACAUUUUCUGUCACCUGGGUCCAAGGCAUGUAACUGGAAUGGAUUCUGGAACUUGCUGCAUGUUUAAUGCAGUUGGAUGCUUUUGUCUGCAGGGGCUGCAUUCCCUGCCUGGCGCAGAUCAUGUUAUCCUGCCAUAGCAUGCAAGGAAAGGAAGCCUUUCCUGGGAGUAGCUGUCAGUUAUUGGGAGGAUGGAUAGGAGGGGAGUCAGGGCUUGGUUCUCCCCUGCCAUCCAGAAAGCUGCAGUGGUGUGUAUGGCAGCCUGUGAAGUGGCCAAGGCGCGUCUGGGGUGCUGCAGCACAGUGUGUUUCUGUACUGUUGGAAGCCUGGUUUUAAUAAAAAUCUUGAGUAAUGG
Molecule: long non-coding RNA, 1331 nt
Organism: Camarhynchus parvulus
Lineage: Eukaryota; Metazoa; Chordata; Aves; Passeriformes; Thraupidae
Exons: 4
Source: RefSeq, a predicted model, not a curated record